GGGGCUGCACUGGUUUCGACGGGGAGUACAAAGUUUAAAAUGCAUGUCGUGCCUGAAUGAUGCACGUAAAUCUUUAUUUCAUUUUGUUAUAGUUGCAAACGACGAUAACUACGCUCUAGCGGCUUAAUCCCGCUGGUGCAGCCUAGGAAAGCUGUCUGUGGCCCCUAACGCUGUAUCAUAUCUCACAGAACCGUGUCCGCUGCGUGUUUGGGUAGUUGGCAUUAAACUUUACAAACUCGCCUAAUGUGAUCCCUGCUGGUCGGGCAGCAUUCAGGUUAAAUUAAUAGACCAAAUAAACAUGUAGAUUUUUAGAUGGAGGCUCCGCGGACGGGGGUUCGACUCCUCCCAGCUCCACCA
RNAcentral lists this transfer-messenger RNA (357 nucleotides) under Thiomicrorhabdus sediminis. RNAcentral's name for it is "Standard tmRNA". It matches the Rfam family "transfer-messenger RNA". From Rfam's summary of the family: Bacterial tmRNA, also known as 10Sa RNA or SsrA, is named for its dual tRNA and mRNA-like properties. Its role is to liberate the mRNA from a stalled ribosome. Lineage: Bacteria; Pseudomonadati; Pseudomonadota; Gammaproteobacteria; Thiotrichales; Piscirickettsiaceae. The record is from Rfam by way of RNAcentral.